Long non-coding RNA from Ipomoea nil (Japanese morning glory), 799 nucleotides. RefSeq lists it as uncharacterized. The record is from RefSeq and is a predicted model, not a curated record. The transcript has 3 exons. NCBI's taxonomy places the organism in Eukaryota, Viridiplantae, Streptophyta, Magnoliopsida, Solanales, Convolvulaceae.
UUUACUGAGCAGCUCUCGUCCAUUUCUUCAUCAGCCAAACAACCCUUGUUUCCGUCUUCCUCUCUCAGCUAAUGGAAGCUGAAACCAGCGGCCACACUCACCUCCAUCAGCUCUCUCUAUCGCGUCUCUCUCGUUAAAAGAAACGGACAGCAGAUCAGCCGCACCUAUUCCCUCCUCUCUCUCGCCGGCGGGUCAGUGAGACCCGUGGUGGCGACGGCAACGCAGCAGCUGCAACCUCCACCUUCUUCCUUUCCUCCCUCCUUCGUUUUUAGCCGGAAGUAGAUGGACAGUGGCCGGCGACCUCCUCCAGCGAACAACAGAGUCAACGGAUAGAGUGAAGCAGGGGUGUGGCAAUGCUCCGGCAUUCUCAAGGUCUGGCGUGGCCGUUUUUCCGGUGGAACGAAGCAGAUUCGGCGACCCAGGUGUUCCUCCGGCGAGCUCCUCUCCCGGCGGCGUCCUUCGGUUCUCCGGCGACCCUGGUUCCGGCGAGAUAGCAGUGCAGUGGUUGUGCUCUCCUCGGCAGUUAUGGGUUCUUUGUUAAAGUGGUUAGCUCGGGAGUGAGUCAAAGAAUCAAGUGCUUAACUUUUGGAGCUCGGUUAAAGGUGGGCCCAGCAGUGUGAAGAAAUCGAGUUAGAUUAGUCUCGUAGAUAGAGAUGUCUAAACUCUAGUACCAUUGAUGCUAUGUAUGGAUUGUAGUUUUAUCGACUUUAUGUUUGAGGAUUGAUGUAGACUAUGUUGGGGUGACGUUUUUCCCCCUUACAUUUCCAAUAUUUAUUUUUAGUACCCAGACUUAAUCUUA